AGCAUUGACAAAGGAGGCAAGAGUAUUCGAACACGUAUGAAUCGUUGGUCAUCAGAACCUUUCUGUCCUGAGGUCAGCCUUAGUGUCUCUACUGGAGCAGAUGCCUGCCAAAAAAACUGCCCUUCCUCCUCCUCCGCACAGUAGGAUCACACAUUCUGACACCAGGCGCCAUUAGCGAAGGGCGGGUCAAGGUGCCCUCAGUCCCAAGGCUGAGGCUUCAGGAGGCAUCGUGUGCCCUGCUGGCCCAGCAUCCGCUAAGUUCCGGGUGGAGACUAGCCUGCGUGCCCGGGUGCCCACAGGGAGAUGGGUUAGCUUCACCUGUCGUGGAGGGAUCACCCAGGAGGUGCGUGAGGUCACGUGCCUCGGUGGUGCCUCGCUGUGCCAGCUCCUCCUCGUGAACACGCCGCAGCUCUCUGAUCCAGCCUUUGGACGACUGUCAUUUCAGUUUCCACGUUCAGGCUGUAAUGAAU
Molecule: long non-coding RNA, 470 nt
Organism: Bos taurus (domestic cattle)
Lineage: Eukaryota; Metazoa; Chordata; Mammalia; Artiodactyla; Bovidae
Source: Ensembl